UCGAGAAUCUUCGGCAAUGGGCGCAAGCCUGACCGAGCGACGCCACGUGCGGGAUGACGGCCCUCGGGUUGUAAACCGCUGUCGGGGGGGAUGAAGUCACGGGGGGUACUCCCCUCGUGUUGACAGAGCCCCGGAGGAAGCGCGGGCUAAGUACGUGCCAGCAGCCGCGGUAAGACGUACUGCGCGAACGUUAUUCGGAAUCACUGGGCUUAAAGGGUGCGCAGGCGGCUCGUCAAGCCCGUGGUGAAAGGCCCCGGCCCAACCGGGGACGGUCUUCGGGGACUGACGAGCUCGGGCGACCUAGGGGUCUGUGGAACUCCCGGUGGAGCGGUGAAAUGUGUUGAGAUCGGGAGGAACGCCGGUGGCGAAAGCGACAGACUGGGGGUUUGCCGACGCUCAUGCACGAAAGCCAGGGGAGCGAACG
This 424-nucleotide ribosomal RNA is filed under the name uncultured Planctomyces sp. RNAcentral describes it as "bacterial SSU rRNA". It matches the Rfam family "Bacterial small subunit ribosomal RNA", at positions 355 to 774 of the family's 1533-position model. The record is from RNAcentral. Lineage: Bacteria; Pseudomonadati; Planctomycetota; Planctomycetia; Planctomycetales; Planctomycetaceae.